GGGGGUAUAGCUCAGUGGUAGAGCAUUU
This 28-nucleotide non-coding RNA is filed under the name Xenopus tropicalis (tropical clawed frog). The record is from RNAcentral. Lineage: Eukaryota; Metazoa; Chordata; Amphibia; Anura; Pipidae. RNAcentral also lists the same sequence under 6 other names.